Molecule: ribosomal RNA, 1419 nt
Filed under: Bacillus subtilis
Lineage: Bacteria; Bacillati; Bacillota; Bacilli; Caryophanales; Bacillaceae
Description: bacterial SSU rRNA
Rfam family: Bacterial small subunit ribosomal RNA
Source: RNAcentral
UCAGGACGAACGCUGGCGGCGUGCCUAAUACAUGCAAGUCGAGCGGACAGAUGGGAGCUUGCUCCCUGAUGUUAGCGGCGGACGGGUGAGUAACACGUGGGUAACCUGCCUGUAAGACUGGGAUAACUCCGGGAAACCGGGGCUAAUACCGGAUGGUUGUUUGAACCGCAUGGUUCAAACAUAAAAGGUGGCUUCGGCUACCACUUACAGAUGGACCCGCGGCGCAUUAGCUAGUUGGUGAGGUAACGGCUCACCAAGGCGACGAUGCGUAGCCGACCUGAGAGGGUGAUCGGCCACACUGGGACUGAGACACGGCCCAGACUCCUACGGGAGGCAGCAGUAGGGAAUCUUCCGCAAUGGACGAAAGUCUGACGGAGCAACGCCGCGUGAGUGAUGAAGGUUUUCGGAUCGUAAAGCUCUGUUGUUAGGGAAGAACAAGUACCGUUCGAAUAGGGCGGUACCUUGACGGUACCUAACCAGAAAGCCACGGCUAACUACGUGCCAGCAGCCGCGGUAAUACGUAGGUGGCAAGCGUUGUCCGGAAUUAUUGGGCGUAAAGGGCUCGCAGGCGGUUUCUUAAGUCUGAUGUGAAAGCCCCCGGCUCAACCGGGGAGGGUCAUUGGAAACUGGGGAACUUGAGUGCAGAAGAGGAGAGUGGAAUUCCACGUGUAGCGGUGAAAUGCGUAGAGAUGUGGAGGAACACCAGUGGCGAAGGCGACUCUCUGGUCUGUAACUGACGCUGAGGAGCGAAAGCGUGGGGAGCGAACAGGAUUAGAUACCCUGGUAGUCCACGCCGUAAACGAUGAGUGCUAAGUGUUAGGGGGUUUCCGCCCCUUAGUGCUGCAGCUAACGCAUUAAGCACUCCGCCUGGGGAGUACGGUCGCAAGACUGAAACUCAAAGGAAUUGACGGGGGCCCGCACAAGCGGUGGAGCAUGUGGUUUAAUUCGAAGCAACGCGAAGAACCUUACCAGGUCUUGACAUCCUCUGACAAUCCUAGAGAUAGGACGUCCCCUUCGGGGGCAGAGUGACAGGUGGUGCAUGGUUGUCGUCAGCUCGUGUCGUGAGAUGUUGGGUUAAGUCCCGCAACGAGCGCAACCCUUGAUCUUAGUUGCCAGCAUUCAGUUGGGCACUCUAAGGUGACUGCCGGUGACAAACCGGAGGAAGGUGGGGAUGACGUCAAAUCAUCAUGCCCCUUAUGACCUGGGCUACACACGUGCUACAAUGGACAGAACAAAGGGCAGCGAAACCGCGAGGUUAAGCCAAUCCCACAAAUCUGUUCUCAGUUCGGAUCGCAGUCUGCAACUCGACUGCGUGAAGCUGGAAUCGCUAGUAAUCGCGGAUCAGCAUGCCGCGGUGGAAUACGUUCCCGGGGCCUUGUACACACCGCCCCGUCACACCACGAGAAGUUUGUAACACCC